Molecule: ribosomal RNA, 421 nt
Filed under: uncultured soil bacterium
Lineage: Bacteria
Description: bacterial SSU rRNA
Rfam family: Bacterial small subunit ribosomal RNA
Source: RNAcentral
AGGACGAACGCUGGCGGCGUGCUUAACACAUGCAAGUCGAGCGGUAAGGCCUUUCGGGGUACACGAGCGGCGAACGGGUGAGUAACACGUGGGUGAUCUGCCCUGCACUCUGGGAUAAGCCUGGGAAACUGGGUCUAAUACCGGAUAUGACCUGCUCUCGCAUGGGGGUGGGUGGAAAGAUUUAUCGGUGCAGGAUGGGCCCGCGGCCUAUCAGCUUGGUUGGUGGGGUAAUGGCCUACCAAGGCGACGACGGGUAGCCGACCUGAGAGGGUGACCGGCCACACUGGGACUGAGACACGGCCCAGACUCCUACGGGAGGCAGCAGUGGGGAAUAUGCACAAUGGGCGAAAGCCUGAUGCAGCGACGCCGCGUGAGGAUGAAGGCCUUCGGGUUACGUAAACCUCUUUCAGCGAGGACGAAG